RNAcentral lists this transfer RNA (72 nucleotides) under Phaeobacter phage MD18. It matches the Rfam family "tRNA". Rfam says of the family: Transfer RNA (tRNA) molecules are approximately 80 nucleotides in length. Their secondary structure includes four short double-helical elements and three loops (D, anti-codon, and T loops). Further hydrogen bonds mediate the characteristic L-shaped molecular structure. tRNAs have two regions of fundamental functional importance: the anti-codon, which is responsible for specific mRNA codon recognition, and the 3' end, to which the tRNAs corresponding amino acid is attached (by aminoacyl-tRNA synthetases). tRNAs cope with the degeneracy of the genetic code in two manners: having more than one tRNA (with a specific anti-codon) for a particular amino acid; and 'wobble' base-pairing, i.e. permitting non-standard base-pairing at the 3rd anti-codon position. Lineage: Duplodnaviria; Heunggongvirae; Uroviricota; Caudoviricetes. The record is from Rfam by way of RNAcentral.
GGCGAGUUGGCGGAGUGGUUGACGCACAGGUUUGCAAAACCUGCCACGCGGGUUCGAUUCCCGCACUCGCCU